Molecule: ribosomal RNA, 714 nt
Filed under: uncultured Corynebacterium sp.
Lineage: Bacteria; Bacillati; Actinomycetota; Actinomycetes; Mycobacteriales; Corynebacteriaceae
Description: bacterial SSU rRNA
Rfam family: Bacterial small subunit ribosomal RNA
Source: RNAcentral
AACGGAAAGGCCCUGCUUGCAGGGUACUCGAGUGGCGAACGGGUGAGUAACACGUGGGUGAUCUGCCCUGCACUUCGGGAUAAGCUUGGGAAACUGGGUCUAAUACCGGAUAGGAGCCAUCUUUAGUGUGGUGGUUGGAAAGUUUUUUCGGUGUAGGAUGAGCUCGCGGCCUAUCAGCUUGUUGGUGGGGUAAUGGCCUACCAAGGCGGCGACGGGUAGCCGGCCUGAGAGGGUGUACGGCCACAUUGGGACUGAGAUACGGCCCAGACUCCUACGGGAGGCAGCAGUGGGGAAUAUUGCACAAUGGGCGCAAGCCUGAUGCAGCGACGCCGCGUGGGGGAUGAAGGCCUUCGGGUUGUAAACUCCUUUCGCUAGGGACGAAGCUUUUUUGUGACGGUACCUAGAUAAGAAGCACCGGCUAACUACGUGCCAGCAGCCGCGGUAAUACGUAGGGUGCGAGCGUUGUCCGGAAUUACUGGGCGUAAAGGGCUCGUAGGUGGUUUGUCGCGUCGUCUGUGAAAUUCUGGGGCUUAACUCCGGGCGUGCAGGCGAUACGGGCAUAACUUGAGUGCUGUAGGGGUAACUGGAAUUCCUGGUGUAGCGGUGAAAUGCGCAGAUAUCAGGAGGAACACCGAUGGCGAAGGCAGGUUACUGGGCARUUACUGACGCUGAGGAGCGAAAGCAUGGGUAGCGAACAGGAUUAGAUACCCUGGU